GGAGGAACAAGAUUCUGGCGCCCAUGAUGUGUUCGACAUAAUGACCACACAGAAAAUUGCCCACUGCUUCUGUAAAUGAUGCUAACAAGUGCCCAGUUAUUUAAUUAUCAGUGGUGGGUCAGUAACUCUUUCAGAAGAAAUCUUUAGCAUCUAUGCCUUUUUUGCUUAUAUUUGCGGCAUGUAAAAUUUACACCCUUUCAAUUUAACAAGUGAAUGUUUUUGCUGAAUAUAUAUAUGGAACAAAAUACCAUGAAUAAUUGGGGAUGAGGGCCGAGAAUAAUUUAGACUCUUCAUCAAUUGCAUCUUCCUGUUUACCAUCUAUGGUUGAAGUAACUUCCCUAUAAAUUAAGUGUUAAAAGUACAUUCUUUAUCAUUGUUUGCUAUUUAUCUAUGUAGGUGCUAUCUAUUUUUUCGUUUUACUAUCAAUAAUAUGAGAAAUUGAUUACGCCAGUUAUAUUUUGUGGUAUUGUGAAUGUUCCUUAAUGCUUGACGAAAAAGAAUAAUCAUAAUGUUGCAGCUUUUUAGUACGACUAUACUAUUGACACUUGCCAAAAAUGAAUACCCAUAUUGAUGGAUUUUUGACAGAUAAAAGAAGUCCUCACAUGGUGAAAGAAGCUCGUGAUAAGAAUAUCAAAAUUGUGGGAUCUAUUAUCAUAUGACAAUGCCUUAGAAAGAAGCAUUGUUGUUGCAACAACACCUCAACUGUAGAGAGGCAACAGAAAAUCAUCUUCUUGCAAACACAAAUCAUGUCACCUCCAUAUCAAAUGCAGGGUAAUCUUGCGGUUACACCUUCCUUCUACUUCAGAAAUAUGUUAGAAUAUCGAAUCUUCUAUUUAUUUAUUUCCUCAUACAUCAUAUAUAUGAAUAUAACAAUGGUUAUGCAUGAAUAAAUUAAUUUUUAAACAAUGGUAUCCGUCCAACUUGCAUGCUCUAUCAAUUUAAUUUUUUCCAUGUGGUAGUACUUAUUGUUGAGUUUUCCCCCAUCGGAUUGAUUUGAUAAGGAAUAAUGUGGUUCAUGCUUUUCAGUUUCUUUUUUAAGUUAAGCCCCAAAACUUUCCAUGCGGUAGAACUGAUUGUCGAGUUUUUCCCCCAUCGGAUUGAUUUGACAAGGAAUAAUGUGGUUCAUGCUUUUUCAAUUUUUUUAAGUUAAGCCCCAAAACUGUAGUAAUACUCAUUUAUGUUUCUUCCUAUCAAUAACUAAACUAUAAACUGAGAAACUUGUUAUUGUUGCGCUCAUGGUCUCUUGAUAAAUCUUUCAGUGCUUAUUUGAAUGUGAACUAGGACUUGAAAGCUAAUAUAUUCAACUCUAUUUGUCAAGAAUAAUUGUGUAAUGUGAUUGUUGUAAUUUUGCUGCUUGGACACAGUUAACAUUUUAAUCCCUCUAAAACUCCUUUCAAGUCAAUUUAGUAUUUGGCUUUGUUAAUUAUUAACUACUUAUUAUUUUUCUUACAUUUUCAGACUAUACAGCUCAGAUUUGAUCUUUAAAUAAUUUGGCGUCAUUUUAUAUGUUUUUUAGUAAUUAUAGCAGCUAACCUGCAUUUAAUUUCUUUAUGAUGAAAGAUUAUACUAUGGAAGUCAUGUGAUAUGUAUCGAGAUAAUGCCAGUCUAUUCUCUUCUACAAUGGUUUUAAAGCCACCAGCAGAUUGCCACAACUUAGCUUAAUGUAUUAGUUGUGAAUUAGAUAUCAUACAUACUUUUUGUUAAUGAUAACGAGGAUGUAUAUGAAACGGCAUAUGAUUUUGCAGACAAUAUGGAGGAUUACCGUGUUACCAGUAACUUAUUAGGUAAAGAUAUUAUGUGGUAGUAUACCGAUGACAUAAUAUCUUUAACCUAAGUUGCUCCGACACUUCAGUUUAGGUGCCGCACCCGUGUCGACACGACACUAGUAUGGGUGUGGGUAUGGGAUCCGUACCAAAUUUGGUCAAACACUUUUGGGUACUUUGACCACAACGGACGGAAAAUUCGAUAUAAGAUACAAUUUGAUUCCCGAAAUCAAAAGCAAAACUAGAAUAAUUUUGAAGAAAAUAACAUACCUUAUCUACGACAUCAAUCCUUUACUUAUUUAUAACUUGAAAAUAAAAAAGAAAUCCACACUUUACAAGCUAUACGUAAGUAUUCCACUAAAUUUCUUACAAAUUUAGAUAUAUAUAUAUAUAAUUAAUUUUAGAUCCCCGCACCCAUAUCUAUACUAUGAUCCGUAUCCCCGAAUCUUAGCAUUUACAUCUCGAAGGAUCCGACCUCUAGAUCCGCACCCGUGUCGGACACCCGCACUCGUGUCCGAGCAACUUAGUCUUUAACUCAUUUAAAUUUACUUUCAUUGUUCUCCUGACUUAUUUAUGUGUCGAGGCAUGUACCUAUUGUUUUAUAUAUGUAGACCAUUUUAUGUGCGUAGCUGAUUUGGAUAUUUAUAGUGGCAAUAUAAAGAAUGACUCUCUAUAGUUUAUAUAAAAUCAUAUACUGUGAGAAAUUUAGUUGAGUGAAGAAAAGGGAAAAAACGUACACGUAAAUUUUCUUUUAAUCAAAUUCUUGGUGUGGCAUUGAACACCAUGAUAUUGAAUGGGGCUUUGGCUACUUGAUCCCAAGAAGAAGAAAAAUUAACUAGAGUUGUGGCUGAGAAGUUAUUUAUAUAUACGUAAAAAAUGGUCUUUUAUUUUUUAUAUUCAUCGAUAAUUUACAACACGAUAGAUAUUGCUACAAUGUAAAAUAUAUUAAAUUGCCUAAAGGAAAAUAUAUUUACCUUUUUUAACUUCAUGUGUUGUUUUAUUUUGUUCUUAAAAUCCCUUAUUUAGUUAAAUUAUUAUUUGUUGAUUUAUUUUGGAAGUGUGUUUAUGACAAGAAUUGCAUAUUUCUUAACACCUAACCUUUUAGUUCUCAUUUUUUAUGAAUAGAUUCCUAGAUAUUGCUCAAAAUGCAUUGGCCAUUAAUUUUAUUUUAUUUUCCUUUCCCUUGUCCACCUUUUGCUUUUUCUCUAGGAGUUCCUUGUGUGGAUGAUCUUUUUUCAAAGUUGGAUUCUUUUUUUCAUGCAGGUGGUUGGAACAUUGUCCUUAUUGCUUGCUCAAUCUCCCAAGCUACACAAAUACUGGUCUUACACAUGCUCACCGUGUUUAUUGUAGUUGGUAAAUAUCUUAAUUAUGAUAUUUACUUGCUUUUGUUUGCCCUCUAACAUACUAUUGAUAUGCCUAUCACCUCUGUUGAGUUCAAAAUUGAGUAGUGUGCAGUUAAUAAUAGUAAUCAUAAUAAAACAGUCAUAUAUUCUUCGACGGAGACUAAAUUUCUAAAUUUUACUGUUGUAAAUACAUAAAAAGUUAUGGUGACCAUGAGUUUUUUCAUUUUUUUUUAUAUUUUGUUGUUUAUAUGUAUAUCAUUUUCUAAUUUUAUUACUUAUGAUCUUUAACUAUGUUUCUCUUCAUAGUUUGAGCGUAUAAUCAUAGUUACUUCAUCGUAGAUGAUCUCUUCAUCAAAUUGCUUAGGUUUUUCUUUCAAGCGUUCUUCUUUUCCGAUCUUCAACUUAGGCUUUGUUUGUAGAGUGAAGAAAUAACUCUCUGGUAAUUAGGGGAAUUGCAUUUGCUUCGCUUCUUCGGAACGACAUAUAAUUUCAUAAAUUCUACUUACAGUCUUUAGAGUUAUAACUUGCUUCAAUUUGUUCAAGUAAAAUUUAUUCCCU
This 3664-nucleotide long non-coding RNA is filed under the name Nicotiana tabacum (common tobacco). Its description in RNAcentral is "long non-coding RNA (NTAB_LNC014680)". The record is from RNAcentral. Lineage: Eukaryota; Viridiplantae; Streptophyta; Magnoliopsida; Solanales; Solanaceae.